Molecule: ribosomal RNA, 737 nt
Filed under: uncultured bacterium
Lineage: Bacteria
Description: bacterial SSU rRNA
Rfam family: Bacterial small subunit ribosomal RNA
Source: RNAcentral
AUGGUGCUAGUGUCAGGGCAGCUUGCUGUUGGUGACGCAGCUAACGCAUUAAGCACCCCGCCUGGGGAGUACGGUCGCAAGAUUAAAACUCAAAGGAAUGACGGGGGGCCCGCACAAGCGGUGGAGCAUGUGUUUAAUUNGACGCAACGCGCAGAACCUUACCAACCCUUGACAUGUCUCGUAUGGUUUCCAGAGAUGGAUUCCUUCAGUUCGGCUGGCGAGAACACAGGUGUUGCAUGGCUGUCGUCAGCUCGUGUCGUGAGAUGUUGGGUUAAGUCCCGCAACGAGCGCAACCCUCGCCUUUAGUUGCCAUCAUUUAGUUGGGCACUCUAGAGGGACUGCCGGUGAUAAGCCGGAGGAAGGUGGGGAUGACGUCAAGUCCUCAUGGCCCUUACGGGUUGGGCUACACACGUGCUACAAUGGCGGCGACAAUGGGCAGCGAAGGGGCGACCCGGUGCAAAUCCCAAAAAGCCGUCUCAGUUCGGAUUGUACUCUGCAACUCGAGUGCAUGAAGGUGGAAUCGCUAGUAAUCGCGUAACAGCAUGACGCGGUGAAUGCGUUCCCGGGCCUUGUACACACCGCCCGUCACACCAUGGGAGUUGGUUUUACCCGAAGCUGGUGCGCUAACCGCAAGGAGGCAGCCAACCACGGUAAGGUCAGCGACUGGGGUGAAGUCGUAACAAGGUAGCCCUAGGGGAACCUGGGGCUGGAUCACCUCCUUAAGCUUGGAUCCCGGG